RNAcentral lists this ribosomal RNA (385 nucleotides) under Leufroyia leufroyi. RNAcentral's name for it is "Raphitoma leufroyi partial 12S ribosomal RNA". Lineage: Eukaryota; Metazoa; Mollusca; Gastropoda; Neogastropoda; Raphitomidae. The record is from RNAcentral.
ACCAACAAACUAAGUUAUAUUGGUAAAAAGACAGUUAAAUUAUAUCUAGGUGAAAAAUCUGUGAUAUCUUUAAGAAAAACCGGGAUUGGAUACCCCAUUAUUAGAAGUAAAUCUACCAGAGUACUACGAAUUUAAAACUCAAAGAGCUUGGCGGUAUUUUAAACCACUUAGGGGAACCUGUCUCGUAAUCGAAAAUCCACGUUAAACCUUACCUUUUUUCAGCCUGUAUACCGUUGUCAUCAGAUAACUUUACAUUGAAGUUAACUAGAUAAAUUUAAAUGUCAAAUCAAGGUGCAGCUUAUAAAAAGGAGAGGAUGGGUUACAAUUAUUGAAGGAGGACUUAAAAGUAAUCUACAAAAAUAAGUUGAAUAGGCUCUAAAAUGUG